CAAACUUCCCACUAAAUUACUGUGGAAAAUCAAUCUUCUACAAUCACGAUAAGGUUUUUUCGUACCAUAGCUUUUCAAUUCCAUUAAAGAGGAAUAAUACCAUUAUCAAGUAUUGGUCUUUGUGUUGUGAGUGAGUUUGCAUUGUCAUCAAAAUUCAAGAAGAAUAAACUCUAUUUACAAAAGCAAAGGACUUCUUUAUCACAACUAUUGGCAGCCUGUCUUUUGAUGAGGAUUUCACAAUUCACAGUUG
Long non-coding RNA from Quercus lobata, 250 nucleotides. RefSeq lists it as uncharacterized. The record is from RefSeq and is a predicted model, not a curated record. Lineage: Eukaryota; Viridiplantae; Streptophyta; Magnoliopsida; Fagales; Fagaceae. The transcript is spliced from 3 exons.